Molecule: ribosomal RNA, 253 nt
Filed under: uncultured bacterium
Lineage: Bacteria
Description: partial 16S ribosomal RNA
Rfam family: Bacterial small subunit ribosomal RNA
Source: RNAcentral
GACAGAGGGUGCAAACGUUGUUCGGAAUUACUGGGCGUAAAGCGCGUGUAGGCGGCCCUGCAAGUCGGGUGUGAAAUCCCACGGCUCAACCGUGGAAGUGCACUCGAAACUGCAGGGCUAGAGUCCUGGAGAGGAAGGUGGAAUGCUUGGUGUAGAGGUGAAAUUCGUAGAUAUCAAGCGGAACACCGGUGGCAAAGGCGGCCUUCUGGACAGUGACUGACGCUGAGACGCGAAAGCGUGGGGAGCAAACAGG